CAAGUCGAGCGGAUGAGUGGAGCUUGCUCCAUGAUUCAGCGGCGGACGGGUGAGUAAUGCCUAGGAAUCUGCCUGGUAGUGGGGGACAACGUUUCGAAAGGAACGCUAAUACCGCAUACGUCCUACGGGAGAAAGUGGGGGAUCUUUGGACCUCACGCUAUCAGAUGAGCCUAGGUCGGAUUAGCUAGUUGGUGAGGUAAAGGCUCACCAAGGCGACGAUCCGUAACUGGUCUGAGAGGAUGAUCAGUCACACUGGAACUGAGACACGGUCCAGACUCCUACGGGAGGCAGCAGUGGGGAAUAUUGGACAAUGGGCGAAAGCCUGAUCCAGCCAUGCCGCGUGUGUGAAGAAGGUCUUCGGAUUGUAAAGCACUUUAAGUUGGGAGGAAGGGCAGUAAGUUAAUACCUUGCUGUUUUGACGUUACCGACAGAAUAAGCACCGGCUAACUUCGUGCCAGCAGCCGCGGUAAUACGAAGGGUGCAAGCGUUAAUCGGAAUUACUGGGCGUAAAGCGCGCGUAGGUGGUUCGUUAAGUUGGAUGUGAAAGCCCCGGGCUCAACCUGGGAACUGCAUCCAAAACUGGCGAGCUAGAGUACGGUAGAGGGUGGUG
Molecule: ribosomal RNA, 610 nt
Filed under: uncultured bacterium
Lineage: Bacteria
Description: bacterial SSU rRNA
Rfam family: Bacterial small subunit ribosomal RNA
Source: RNAcentral